AGCGAACGCUGGCGGCAGGCUUAACACAUGCAAGUCGAGCGGGCACUUUCGGGUGUCAGCGGCGGACGGGUGAGUAACGCGUGGGAACGUGCCCUCUGGUUCGGAAUAACUCAGGGAAACUUGAGCUAAUACCGGAUACGCCCUUUUGGGGAAAGGCUUGCUGCCGGAGGAUCGGCCCGCGUCUGAUUAGCUAGUUGGUGAGGUAACGGCUCACCAAGGCGACGAUCAGUAGCUGGUCUGAGAGGAUGAUCAGCCACACUGGGACUGAGACACGGCCCAGACUCCUACGGGAGGCAGAAGUGGGGAAUAUUGGAAAAUGGGCGCAAGCCUGAUCCAGCCAUGCCGCGUGAGUGAUGAAGGCCUUAGGGUUGUAAAGCUCUUUUAUCCGGGACGAUAAUGACGGUACCGGAGGAAUAAGCCCCGGCUAACUUCGUG
RNAcentral lists this ribosomal RNA (435 nucleotides) under uncultured bacterium. RNAcentral describes it as "partial 16S ribosomal RNA". It matches the Rfam family "Bacterial small subunit ribosomal RNA", at positions 29 to 507 of the family's 1533-position model. The record is from RNAcentral.